GCAUAUCAGAAGGCACACCCGGAGAACUGAAACAUCUUAGUACCCGGAGGAAGAGAAAGAAAAUUCGAUUCCCUUAGUAGCGGCGAGCGAAACGGGAAGAGCCCAAACCAAAAAGCUUGCUUGUUGGGGUUGUAGGACACUCUAUACGGAGUUACAAAGGACGACAUUAGACGAAUCAUCUGGAAAGAUGAAUCAAAGAAGGUAAUAAUCCUGUAGUCGAAAAUGUUGUCUCUCUUGAGUGGAUCCUGAGUACGACGGAGCACGUGAAAUUCCGUCGGAAUCUGGGAGGACCAUCUCCUAAGGCUAAAUACUCUCUAGUGACCGAUAGUGAACCAGUACCGUGAGGGAAAGGUGAAAAGCACCCCGGAAGGAGAGUGAAAUAGAACCUGAAACCGUGUGCUUACAAGUAGUCAGAGCCCGUUAAUGGGUGAUGGCGUGCCUUUUGUAGAAUGAACCGGCGAGUUACGAUUUGAUGCAAGGUUAAGCAGUAAAUGUGGAGCCGUAGCGAAAGCGAGUCUGAAUAGGGCGUUUAGUAUUUGGUCGUAGACCCGAAACCAGGUGAUCUACCCUUGGUCAGGUUGAAGUUCAGGUAACACUGAAUGGAGGACCGAACCGACUUACGUUGAAAAGUGAGCGGAUGAACUGAGGGUAGCGGAGAAAUUCCAAUCGAACCUGGAGAUAGCUGGUUCUCUCCGAAAUAGCUUUAGGGCUAGCCUCAAGUGAUGAUUAUUGGAGGUAGAGCACUGUUUGGACGAGGGGCCCCUCUCGGGUUACCGAAUUCAGACAAACUCCGAAUGCCAAUUAAUUUAACUUGGGAGUCAGAACAUGGGUGAUAAGGUCCGUGUUCGAAAGGGAAACAGCCCAGACCACCAGCUAAGGUCCCAAAAUAUAUGUUAAGUGGAAAAGGAUGUGGCGUUGCCCAGACAACUAGGAUGUUGGCUUAGAAGCAGCCAUCAUUUAAAGAGUGCGUAAUAGCUCACUAGUCGAGUGACACUGCGCCGAAAAUGUACCGGGGCUAAACAUAUUACCGAAGCUGUGGAUUGUCCUUUGGACAAUGGUAGGAGAGCGUUCUAAGGGCGUUGAAGCAUGAUCGUAAGGACAUGUGGAGCGCUUAGAAGUGAGAAUGCCGGUGUGAGUAGCGAAAGACGGGUGAGAAUCCCGUCCACCGAUUGACUAAGGUUUCCAGAGGAAGGCUCGUCCGCUCUGGGUUAGUCGGGUCCUAAGCUGAGGCCGACAGGCGUAGGCGAUGGAUAACAGGUUGAUAUUCCUGUACCACCUAUAAUCGUUUUAAUCGAUGGGGGGACGCAGUAGGAUAGGCGAAGCGUGCGAUUGGAUUGCACGUCUAAGCAGUAAGGCUGAGUAUUAGGCAAAUCCGGUACUCGUUAAGGCUGAGC
Molecule: ribosomal RNA, 1394 nt
Filed under: Staphylococcus aureus
Lineage: Bacteria; Bacillati; Bacillota; Bacilli; Caryophanales; Staphylococcaceae
Description: partial 23S ribosomal RNA
Rfam family: Bacterial large subunit ribosomal RNA
Source: RNAcentral